This 368-nucleotide ribosomal RNA is filed under the name Lycogala sp. RNAcentral's name for it is "partial small subunit ribosomal RNA". It matches the Rfam family "Eukaryotic small subunit ribosomal RNA", at positions 140 to 425 of the family's 1831-position model. The record is from RNAcentral. Lineage: Eukaryota; Evosea; Eumycetozoa; Liceales; Enteridiidae.
UGGAUAGAGCACGGAAAAGCUGUGUAUAACACAGACAAGUGGGGUCACCGCUGCCCGUUGGCAUGGGCAGUGGGGGUAAGUGGGCCCAUAACCAUGGGCCUCACCUCAUCAACGGCUCUCAAAGUACCUCUGGGACUAAACAUCCCGGGCCAAACGGAAGCCUCUGGUACCGGACACGUUUACCGAGCGCCCUGCGGGGUUGGUCUUGUCUGGGUACCCGGCAGAGCCCAUCCACAAGCGCACGAUGGACUUCAAACCUAUCAGCUAGACUGUAGGGUAUUGGCCUACCGUGGCUAUUACGGGUACAGAGGAUUAGGGUUUGAUCCUGGAGAGGUAGCCUGAAAAAUCGCUCCCACUUCUAAGGAAGG